Molecule: microRNA, 22 nt
Filed under: Pan troglodytes (chimpanzee)
Lineage: Eukaryota; Metazoa; Chordata; Mammalia; Primates; Hominidae
Also listed under: 3 other names
Description: ptr-miR-934
Gene: ptr-miR-934
Source: miRBase by way of RNAcentral
UGUCUACUACUGGAGACACUGG